RNAcentral lists this transfer RNA (73 nucleotides) under Pseudomyrmex particeps. Its description in RNAcentral is "tRNA-Gln". Lineage: Eukaryota; Metazoa; Arthropoda; Insecta; Hymenoptera; Formicidae. The record is from RNAcentral.
UAUAUUAUGGUGUAAAAUAUUUGCAUAGUAAAUUUUGAUUUUAUAGGAAGUAGUUAAAUUCUGCUUAAUAUAA